GAAAUGCGAUGAGUAGUGUGAAUUGCAGAAUUCAGUGAAUCAUCGAAUCUUUGAACGCACAUUGCGCCCUCUGGCAUUCCGGGGGGCAUGCCUGUCCGAGCGUCAUUACGCACCCUCAAGCCCGGCUUGUGUGAUGGGCCCUGGCGUCUCGUUCGCGAGACGGGCCCGAAAGGCAGCGGCGGCGUCGACCCGAUGAGCCCGAGCGUAUGGGGACUUUUGUCACACGUUUGCGGUGCGGACCGGCGCCUGCUUGACUUUUCUGAUUAUCCAGGUUGACCUCGGAUCAGGUAGGGAUACCCGCUGAACUUAAGC
RNAcentral lists this unclassified non-coding RNA (312 nucleotides) under plant metagenome. RNAcentral describes it as "partial contains 5.8S ribosomal RNA, internal transcribed spacer 2, and large subunit ribosomal RNA". The stretch from base 1 to 105 matches the Rfam family "5.8S ribosomal RNA", at positions 50 to 154 of the family's 154-position model. The record is from RNAcentral.